RNAcentral lists this ribosomal RNA (294 nucleotides) under Triticum aestivum (bread wheat). RNAcentral's name for it is "partial small subunit ribosomal RNA". The record is from RNAcentral. Lineage: Eukaryota; Viridiplantae; Streptophyta; Magnoliopsida; Poales; Poaceae.
AUGUUCGACAAAUUUGGAGAGGUUAUAUAUGAAUCAAUGCAGUACAAAGUAGAAGAGGUCACCAAAGGAGAAACUUACCUCGUUCGCCGAUACCAUCCAGAGAAACAUGAAAAGUGGUGCAGGGUUGUGUAUAAAGUAGUUGUCGAGAAAGAGGGGAAUGAACUAAAGUGCGAGUGUGCUAACUUUGAGCACACAGGUUUGCUCUGCUGCCAUUCAGUCAAGGUGAGUAUGAAAAAAGAAAAAGAAAAUCCCUUCCACUCCACACUAUUCUACCGGUCAAAAGAGGCCAAAUAA